Long non-coding RNA from Eptesicus fuscus (big brown bat), 320 nucleotides. RefSeq lists it as uncharacterized. Lineage: Eukaryota; Metazoa; Chordata; Mammalia; Chiroptera; Vespertilionidae. The transcript is spliced from 3 exons. The record is from RefSeq and is a predicted model, not a curated record.
GCAAAUUGUACAAAAGCAGGACUGAGCAGGGUUAAUAAUCUAAAGGUAGUCAACUCCUGGAGCCACUGAGUCAGUGGGAAUCAAUCUCCUGUGGUUCUGGUCCACAGGCACAGGAAAAUGACCUUUGUGAUGUGGUGUGGAUUAAUGUGAGCUUCCAGGUCUCAAUCUGGGGCCUGAGGUAACUACCCUAUUGUUUAAGCAAGAAGAACCCAAGUUCAAGAAAGCUGAAUGGGUUGUUCAAGGACACAUCUCUCAGAAGAGCACACUAUUGUUUCAUGGACCACAAAGAAACUACCUAUGCUUGCUGCUGAGAAAAUGAG